RNAcentral lists this ribosomal RNA (253 nucleotides) under uncultured bacterium. RNAcentral's name for it is "partial 16S ribosomal RNA". It matches the Rfam family "Bacterial small subunit ribosomal RNA", at positions 524 to 776 of the family's 1533-position model. The record is from RNAcentral.
UACAGAGGGGGCAAGCGUUAUUCGGAAUUAUUGGGCGUAAAGGGCGCGUAGGCGGCCUUCUAAGUCGGACGUGAAAUCCCUCGGCUUAACCGAGGAACUGCGUCCGAUACUGAAAGGCUUGAAUCCGGGAGAGGGAUGUGGAAUUCCAGGUGUAGCGGCGAAAUGCGUAGAUAUCUGGAGGAACACCGGUGGCGAAGGCGGCAUCCUGGACCGGCAUUGACGCUGAGGCGCGAAAGCUAGGGGAGCAAACGGG